UAGGAAAUAAUAUAAAGGAAGUAUGGAGGGUUUUGAUUCCUCCUGUGCAGGUUCGACCCCUGCUUUUCUAA
This 71-nucleotide transfer RNA is filed under the name Melanocharis versteri (Fan-tailed berrypecker). RNAcentral's name for it is "tRNA-Gln". It matches the Rfam family "tRNA". Rfam says of the family: Transfer RNA (tRNA) molecules are approximately 80 nucleotides in length. The record is from RNAcentral. Lineage: Eukaryota; Metazoa; Chordata; Aves; Passeriformes; Melanocharitidae.